This 253-nucleotide ribosomal RNA is filed under the name uncultured bacterium. Its description in RNAcentral is "partial 16S ribosomal RNA". It matches the Rfam family "Bacterial small subunit ribosomal RNA", at positions 524 to 776 of the family's 1533-position model. The record is from RNAcentral.
UACAGAGGGGGCAAGCGUUAUUCGGAAUUAUUGGGCGUAAAGGGCGCGUAGGCGGCCUGGCAAGUGGAAGGUGAAAUCCCUCGGCUUAACCGAGGAACUGCCGUCCAAACUGCUUAGCUUGAGACCGGGAGAGGUGAGUGGAAUUCCCAGUGUAGCGGUGAAAUGCGUAGAUAUUGGGAGGAACACCAGUGGCGAAGGCGGCUCACUGGACCGGUACUGACGCUGAGGCGCGAAAGCGUGGGGAGCAAACGGG